RNAcentral lists this ribosomal RNA (490 nucleotides) under uncultured bacterium. RNAcentral's name for it is "partial 16S ribosomal RNA". It matches the Rfam family "Bacterial small subunit ribosomal RNA", at positions 30 to 507 of the family's 1533-position model. The record is from RNAcentral.
AUUGAACGCUGGCGGCAGGCCUAACACAUGCAAGUCGAACGGUAACAGGAAGAAUCUUUCUUCUUUGCUGACGGGUGGCGGACGGGUGAGUCAUGUCUGGGAAACUGUCUGAUGGAGGGGGAUAACUACUGGAAACGGUUGCUAAUACCGCAUAACGUCGCAAGGCCAAAGAGGGGGACCGUCGGGCCUCUUGCCAUCGGAUGUGCCCAGAUGGGAUUAGCUAGUAGGUGGGGUAACGGCCCACCUAGGCGACGAUCCCUAGCUGGUCUGAGAGGAUGACCAGCCACACGAGAACUGAGACACGGUCCAGACUCCUAAGGGAGGCAGCAGUGGGGAAUAUUGCACAAUGGGCGCAAGCCUGAUGCAGCCAGGCCGCGUGUAUGAAGGAGGCCUUCGGGGUGUAAAGUACUUUCAGGGGGGAGGAAGGGAGUACAGUUAAUACCUUGGCUCAGUGACGUUACCCGCAGAAGAAGCACCGGCUAACUCCGUG